Molecule: long non-coding RNA, 2967 nt
Organism: Drosophila pseudoobscura
Lineage: Eukaryota; Metazoa; Arthropoda; Insecta; Diptera; Drosophilidae
Exons: 2
Source: RefSeq, a predicted model, not a curated record
UUCUUGUCACAGAGCACAGCAAAUUCCAAAAUAAAAGUUAAUACAAAAAAAAAUAAUUCAGACCAAAGUCAGGCUCAGGCACCUCCUCCCUGGAACAGGGAAUUGAGUUUUCCCAAACCCUUGUGUAACUCAUCAUCUGUGAUAUGGCGAAAAGCGGGGAAAAAAGAAACGUCGUGGAUCUGAAUUUUUCAACGAUUCACACAAAAAGGGAACACUUCGCCAAGUUGCCGCGGUCCCUCAUCCUGCGCCUCUUCAAGGCAACCGUUGUGCCCCUUUGCGUGAACAGGAUCCCUCAACUGUUGCCCAGGCUGCGGCGAGGGAGAUGAAUAGGAUUCAACAUAACCCUUAUGCUGAUGAUGUCCCGUCCACCACAGCUGGGGCUCAAGCAACUCAGGCUGAGAAAACUCCCAAAAAAACACGAAAGUCUAGGCAAAAAACCAUCCCUGGGCACGGCACCCUCAGGGGACCUCCGUAUUUACGCAAAGGACGAUAACACCCAUAGAAAGAUAAUUAGGAUACUAAAUUCACUGCGGGUGCAGUACACCCGGGUAGUGGCAAAAAAUCUUGCAGAAUCUUGACCCAAGGAUACCAUCAACCAGACAUUUGAGAAGUUGGGACAUCGAGGGGUCAACCUGUACAACCCGAAGUCCAGGAGGAGCCCUUCCAUCAGCGCUGAUGGCGUCAGGCAGGAACCCCCCAACUAAAACGCCUAGUUUAUUGACCUCGGCCGGGCCCCUAACAACAAGGAAGCUCUCAAGAUCGCUAGAGUCUGCAGAUAACGGGUGAAAAUAAAGGUGCCCCGCAAAAUCAACAGUAUGCGCCGAGGACCACUGGAUAGGUAGCACAGAAUGCAACGCCAUGACCGAAGAUGAACUCACAUGCUCAAACUGCAGCGGAAAGCAUGCAGCAUGAUAGAUCCUGCAAGAUUUACGUCAUGAUGCUUAAAAAUCGCCAAUCCGCCGUGAACGUCUCUCCGCAAAACCAAGAUUCUACAAAGGUGAGAAAUGUCCCAUCAAUGGCAGUACAGCGCGGGUAAUCCUUCGCAUGCUUUCCGCCGAAACAAACCCAAACAGGCCUACGUUGAUAAUCGCCGGCAAAACUUAGGAAAGCAGGACUAUAACACCCAGUUCCCUCAGCUUCAAGGAAAACGCAGACCACCAACGCACAAGGUUUUCAUCCUCGCAAAUGGAUACGAACUCGAUGCCUCAGGUUCUUAUGGAUUUGCAGAGGUCAGUAGAGGGCCUCACAACGGCAGUAGCAGGUAUCCUGCAAUCCCUCGACAAACUGCGUAAAGCAAAUACACCCAUACCCUCGCAAUCUCUCAGAAGACCAUAAUGUUGUCAGACCUAAGGAUCGGAUUUGGGAACGCCCUUAGCCUGGCUCAUAACACUAAUGAGCUUGCUCUAUUAUUACAGCGUCAUAAUAUUGACAUCAUGUUAGUUGCUGAAACCUACUUAUACCCAGAAAAAAACUACACGCUCCACGAUCCAACAGGGCCAGAAGGCAGCUGUACUCGUUUGGAAGGAUAUUUCCCAUUACCACCAUCAUGCUGUGCAAUUGGGGUCGAUUCAGCUUGCGUUGGUCAUGGUUUCAACACUACGCGGAGAGAUCCUCAUUGCUGCAGCCUAUUUGCCCCCAUCGAUUCCCUGGUCUGGCACAGAUUUCGACAAUCUUCUGGCCCAACUGAGUAACAAAUUUAUCAUUGGAGGAGACUUUAAUGCGAAGCACAAACUUUGGGGCAAUCACAGAGGAGACCGCAGAGCGUUGGCACUGCAUGACGCCCUAACCAAUGGAUCGACUCAAAUUCUGGCGACAGGAAGUUCUACAGAUCCAUUCACUCCUGCCUAGACUUCUUCCUAUAUCGAUCUAUCCCCAGCAAUUAGCUUACCAUCCGUGAAGAGCAUUAUCUAAGCUCCGAUCACCUGCCUCUCAAUGCUACAUAAUCGAAAACUGCGCAGACAAUCUCAGAUAUGACGAGGCUAUUGAAACCGAACGCAAACAUUCCCCUGUUUGAGGACAUUCUGGGUAGCUCGCUAGACUUACACACAUAAGAACCGCUCAGGAUAUAGAUGCUGCAGUCCACACUCUUGUGAGCAAAGUCUGUGAUGCUUCUGCAGCUGCUACCACCUUUGGCCCUAAACUUCACCUAAACUUCGCUUUUCGGUAUGGAAGGCUGACGGCUCAUGGGCAAGAACAGCAAUGGACAGAAUCGGGAAGAAAGAUUCACACCAUUUCGGACGACAUCUACUAGAAGAGCAAUGAUGGUCACUGAAAGGCUAAAUGAGACCCACCAGAUUGAGCUCCCUGUGACGCCAAUCACUUUUCAAGAAAUCUCGGAGGACAUAAAGAAAUUCAAGUCCAAUAAGGCCCCUGGCGACGAUAGGAUUGAGAAUGUUGUGGCAAAGGCGCUACCCAUCAGAACGAUUCUGUAUAUGUUGCUAAUCUUUAACUCGUCGCUAAGAUUAUCAUACUUUCCCAAAGCCUGGAGAUGUGCCCACAUAAUUAUGUUGCCAAAACCAGGAAAGCCACCGGAAGUCCUCAACAACCAUAGACAAAUUAGUCUCUUUUCAACUGUUGACAAAAUGUUUGAGCGCUGCAUCCUACGAAGGAUACUGGAGUCGCCGAUGAUCAACAGACAUGUCAAACUACCAAUUUGGCUUCAGACUUCAGCACGGCACACCCAAACAACUGCAGCGUAGUGGAACACGUACAUUUGCGCCGAAUUCUACAGGAAGAAUGGAGGAAAAUCACCCCUUACCAGUGCGCACGUCCUUUAGAUUUAAUACCAAGGCGUUGCUCCACUUUUGUUAAAAAUACUAGGAAUACUGAGCAAAUUUUAACUUUUUUAACCAUUUUUUUCCAGGUGGCUGAUUGGUUAUUCUUUUAUUAAAACACUGACAUAUAGAACUGAUUUGAGACACAAAAUGGGAUCUGUAAAAUAUAAACUAUUCUUGAUUUUCGCUUAAA